Molecule: ribosomal RNA, 206 nt
Filed under: uncultured bacterium
Lineage: Bacteria
Description: partial 16S ribosomal RNA
Rfam family: Bacterial small subunit ribosomal RNA
Source: RNAcentral
AGCGUAGACGGUGUGGCAAGUCUGAUGUGAAAGGCAUGGGCUCAACCUGUGGACUGCAUUGGAAACUGUCAUACUUGAGUGCCGGAGGGGUAAGCGGAAUUCCUAGUGUAGCGGUGAAAUGCGUAGAUAUUAGGAGGAACACCAGUGGCGGAGGCGGCUUACUGGACAGUAACUGACGUUGAGGCUCGAAAGCGUGGGAGCAAACA